RNAcentral lists this ribosomal RNA (372 nucleotides) under uncultured bacterium. Its description in RNAcentral is "bacterial SSU rRNA". It matches the Rfam family "Bacterial small subunit ribosomal RNA", at positions 527 to 896 of the family's 1533-position model. The record is from RNAcentral.
GUAGGGUCCGAGCGUUGUCCGGAAUUAUUGGGCGUAAAGAGCUCGUAGGCGGUCUGUCGCGUCGGAUGUGAAAGCCCGGGGCUUAACCCCGGGUCUGCAUUCGAUACGGGCAGACUAGAGUGUGGUAGGGGAGAUCGGAAUUCCUGGUGUAGCGGUGAAAUGCGCAGAUAUCAGGAGGAACACCGGUGGCGAAGGCGGAUCCCUGGGCCAUUACUGACGCUGAGGAGCGAAAGCGUGGGGAGCGAACAGGAUUAGAUACCCUGGUAGUCCACGCCGUAAACGUUGGGAACUAGGUGUUGGCGACAUUCCACGUCGUCGGUGCCGCAGCUAACGCAUUAAGUUCCCCGCCUGGGGAGUACGGCCGCAAGGCUA